Molecule: small RNA, 593 nt
Filed under: Pongo abelii (Sumatran orangutan)
Lineage: Eukaryota; Metazoa; Chordata; Mammalia; Primates; Hominidae
Description: retained intron
Source: RNAcentral
CCCAGCAGACGGGGAGAGGAGGUUGUGUGGGACAGACUGCUCCUAACAGAAGGAUGUCCCAGCUGAGCCUGUCCUUGCUGGGCCUCGGGCCAGUGGCAGCGUCCCCAUGGCUGCUCCUCCUGCUGGUCGGGGCCUCCUGGCUCCUGGCCCGUGUCCUGGCCUGGACCUAUGCCUUCUAUGACAACUGCCGCCGCCUCCAGUGUUUCCCACAACCCCCGAGACGGAACUGGUUUUGGGGACACCAGGGCAUGGUCAACCCCACAGAGGAGGGCAUGAGAGUUCUGACUCAGCUGGUGGCCACCUACCCCCAGGGCUUUAAGGUCUGGAUGGGCCCCAUCUCCCCCCUCCUCAGUUUGUGCCACCCCGACAUCAUCCGGUCUGUCAUCAACGCCUCAGCUGCCAUUGCACCAAAGGACAAGUUCUUCUACAGCUUUCUGGAGCCCUGGCUGGGUGAGUAUCUGCAGGUGAACAGGGUUGGGAAAAAUGCUGGGGGGCCGGGGGAGGGAGAGGCCCUUGCCCAUGGCCCUUGGCUGCCCUGCUAGGGGACGGGCUCCUGCUGAGUGCUGGUGACAAGUGGAGCCGCCACCGUCGGA